RNAcentral lists this long non-coding RNA (204 nucleotides) under Malus domestica (apple). RNAcentral describes it as "long non-coding RNA (MDOM_LNC005526)". Lineage: Eukaryota; Viridiplantae; Streptophyta; Magnoliopsida; Rosales; Rosaceae. The record is from RNAcentral.
CAACCGAGCCUCAGAAUGGCACACGACGAAACAUCUAACCAUGUCGUAGUAUUGGAAAAAAGUCUGGGAGCAGCUCGCUGUGCUUCCCAUUUACACCCUUACACAGGUUCCACAAGCAGUUCGAAGUCUCAAAUAGAUUGCUGAACAAGACCUCACAAUUUAAGGAUUAUUUCAGUUGUCUAGCAGUCUAGCUUUUGUUAGCUA